GAGAGAGAGAGAGAGAGAAUAUAUUGUGCAUGUUUUCAGUAAGAUUGCAUAGUUUUUGAUAAGGGAAUAACAGUGUUUACUGUCUCUGAUGAAUUUUAAUUGUUCUUCAUGUUGACAUGAUUAGUGAGAUUAUGGUUCAUAGUUGAUUCUGACCAAGAAGUCCCAUUCAAAUUUUUAUUGGCAGGAUUUUUUUAUCUAUUGCUGUGCCUAUGAACUAUUAAAUUGCUUAGUCAAGUCAAAAGGAAAUUGAGACGUUGAUACACUAGUAUGGGAACUUUGUUUGCUUUUAUUUAGUACCUUUGGCAAUUAGAUACAUCAAUUAGAAGUUUUUGUGGCAGGUGGGAAUGGGAGUCUAAGGAUGGCAAUGGGUAGGGUACUAACCUGCGAAAAUCACCCUAUCCAAACCCGAUUAAUAUUUUCAAAACCCGAAUCCCUCCAAAACCCGAUUAAAAUUUAUUGUCGACUACUCGAACUCAUCCCAAAUCUGAUUAUUAUUACUCAAAAAAUACUCAAAUCCGUUUAAUUUGAU
Molecule: unclassified non-coding RNA, 529 nt
Filed under: Hevea brasiliensis (rubber tree)
Lineage: Eukaryota; Viridiplantae; Streptophyta; Magnoliopsida; Malpighiales; Euphorbiaceae
Source: RNAcentral